Molecule: ribosomal RNA, 253 nt
Filed under: uncultured bacterium
Lineage: Bacteria
Description: partial 16S ribosomal RNA
Rfam family: Bacterial small subunit ribosomal RNA
Source: RNAcentral
UACGAAGGGGGCUAGCGUUGUUCGGAAUUACUGGGCGUAAAGCGCGCGCAGGCGGUCCUUCAAGUCAGAGGUGAAAGCCCAGAGCUCAACUCUGGAACGGCCUUUGAAACUAGAGGACUUGGGUACGGGAGAGGUGAGUGGAAUUCCGAGUGUAGAGGUGAAAUUCGUAGAUAUUCGGAAGAACACCAGUGGCGAAGGCGGCUCACUGGCCCGUCACCGACGCUCAGGCGCGACAGCGUGGGGAGCAAACAGG